AUGAUGCCACGACAACAUAUCAGUUAUCCGGUAGCCCACGGGGAUACCGGUGCAAAAGGAAAUGACGGGAGCGUGUCAUGCCAGGAUGGUGGGGUGCUCCCGAUUACGGGGUUCCCACAUGUCGGUGGCAAGGCAAAAGAGGGGCAACAUGCGCCGAACAACUCCGACAUGGAGCAAACACGAGCAUUUCAUACAACAUAUGCAUUCGGUCCACGGGUCAUCGUCUCGGCGGUUAUACCUUCUAAGGGUGCAUUAUCAGAACGGAUCAAGUUCGUAGAGGAAAGUAGGCGUUCUCGCGACGGCGGUAGUGGGAGUAGUCGUUCACGUUCGUUCGGAGAGGGAAAGAAAACAACGGCAGCAGCAGGCAUCGCAGACACCGGGCGUGGUCGCCUGUAG
Molecule: ribosomal RNA, 396 nt
Filed under: Triticum aestivum (bread wheat)
Lineage: Eukaryota; Viridiplantae; Streptophyta; Magnoliopsida; Poales; Poaceae
Description: partial small subunit ribosomal RNA
Source: RNAcentral